UACGGAGGGGGCUAGCGUUGUUCGGAAUUACUGGGCGUAAAGCGCACGUAGGCGGCUUUGUAAGUUAGAGGUGAAAGCCCGGAGCUCAACUCCGGAAUUGCCUUUAAGACUGCAUCGCUAGAAUCAUGGAGAGGUGAGUGGAAUUCCGAGUGUAGAGGUGAAAUUCGUAGAUAUUCGGAAGAACACCAGUGGCGAAGGCGGCUCACUGGACUGGUAUUGACGCUGAGGUGCGAAAGCGUGGGGAGCAAACAGG
Molecule: ribosomal RNA, 253 nt
Filed under: uncultured bacterium
Lineage: Bacteria
Description: partial 16S ribosomal RNA
Rfam family: Bacterial small subunit ribosomal RNA
Source: RNAcentral